GUGCUUGCUUCAGCAGCACAUAUGCCAAAAUUGGAACAAUACAGAGAAAAUUAGCAUGCCCCUGUGCAAGAAUGACAUGCAAAUUUGUAAAGCAUUGCAUAUUUUA
Small nuclear RNA from Callithrix jacchus (white-tufted-ear marmoset), 106 nucleotides. The record is from Ensembl. NCBI's taxonomy places the organism in Eukaryota, Metazoa, Chordata, Mammalia, Primates, Cebidae.